AGCGAACGCUGGCGGCAGGCUUAACACAUGCAAGUCGAGCGGACCUUUCGGGGUCAGCGGCGGACGGGUGAGUAACGCGUGGGAACGUGCCUUCCGGUUCGGAAUAACCCUGGGAAACUAGGGCUAAUACCGGAUACGCCCUUAUGGGGAAAGGUUUACUGCCGGAAGAUCGGCCCGCGUCUGAUUAGCUAGUUGGUGGGGUAACGGCCUACCAAGGCGACGAUCAGUAGCUGGUCUGAGAGGAUGAUCAGCCACACUGGGACUGAGACACGGCCCAGACUCCUACGGGAGGCAGCAGUGGGGAAUAUUGGACAAUGGGCGCAGGCCUGAUCCAGCCAUGCCGCGUGAGUGUUGAAGGCCUUAGGGUUGUAAAGCUCUUUUAUCCGGGACGAUAAUGACGGUACCGGAGGAAUAAGCCCCGGCUAACUUCGUG
RNAcentral lists this ribosomal RNA (433 nucleotides) under uncultured bacterium. Its description in RNAcentral is "partial 16S ribosomal RNA". It matches the Rfam family "Bacterial small subunit ribosomal RNA", at positions 29 to 507 of the family's 1533-position model. The record is from RNAcentral.